This 162-nucleotide ribosomal RNA is filed under the name Opuntia microdasys (bunny ears cactus). Its description in RNAcentral is "5.8S ribosomal RNA". It matches the Rfam family "5.8S ribosomal RNA". From Rfam's summary of the family: 5.8S ribosomal RNA (5.8S rRNA) is a component of the large subunit of the eukaryotic ribosome. RNAcentral also lists the same sequence under 54 other names. The record is from RNAcentral. Lineage: Eukaryota; Viridiplantae; Streptophyta; Magnoliopsida; Caryophyllales; Cactaceae.
AACGACUCUCGGCAACGGAUAUCUCGGCUCUCGCAUCGAUGAAGAACGUAGCGAAAUGCGAUACUUGGUGUGAAUUGCAGAAUCCCGUGAACCAUCGAGUCUUUGAACGCAAGUUGCGCCCAAAGCCUUCCGGCCGAGGGCACGUCUGCCUGGGCGUCACGC